RNAcentral lists this ribosomal RNA (478 nucleotides) under uncultured bacterium. RNAcentral describes it as "partial 16S ribosomal RNA". It matches the Rfam family "Bacterial small subunit ribosomal RNA", at positions 28 to 507 of the family's 1533-position model. The record is from RNAcentral.
GAUGAACGCUAGCGGCAGGCCUAACACAUGCAAGUCGAGGGAGAAGCCCUUUCGGGGGCAGAAACCGGCGCACGGGUUCGUAACGCGUAUGCAACCUACCUUUCACCGGGGGAUAGCCCGAAGAUAUUUGGAUUAAUCCCCCAUAAUAUUAUUGGAUGGCAUCAUUUGAUAAUUAAAACUUCGGUGGUGAUAGAUGGGCAUGCGUCCUAUUAGCUAGUUGGAGUGGUAACGGCACCCCAAGGCUACGAUAGGUAGGGGUCCUGAGAGGGAGAUCCCCCACACUGGUACUGAGACAGGGACCAGACUGCGACGGGAGGGAGCAGUGAGGAAGAUUGGGGAAUGGUGGGAAGACUGAACCAGCCAUGCCGCGGGAAGGAAGAAUGCGUUAGGGGUUGUAAACUGCUUGUAUAGGGGAGGAAUAAGGUGUACGUGUACAGUGAUGACGGUACCAUAUGAAUAAGCAUCGGCUAACUCCGUG